GACGAACGCUGGCGGCGUGCCUAACACAUGCAAGUCGAACGGGGUAAUGACUUCGGUUAUUACUUAGUGGCGAACGGGUGAGUAACGCGUGAGAAACCUGCCUUUCAGUGGGGGACGAACAGUUGGAAACGACUGCUAAUACCGCAUAAUGUAUCGAUGGGGCGAUCCUGUUGAUACCAAAGAUUUAUUGCUGAAAGAUGGUCUCGCGUCUGAUUAGCUAGUUGGUGAGGUAACGGCUCACCAAGGCGACGAUCAGUAGCCGGUCUGAGAGGAUGAACGGCCACAUUGGGACUGAGAUACGGCCCAG
Molecule: ribosomal RNA, 307 nt
Filed under: uncultured bacterium
Lineage: Bacteria
Description: bacterial SSU rRNA
Rfam family: Bacterial small subunit ribosomal RNA
Source: RNAcentral